GGGGAGAGUAAAGCCUCAUUUUUUUUUCAGUCACUCUAUCUGGGGUUGCUUAUCUCCUCUCCCCCAACCCUCUGCCUCACCCCACCAGGACCAAAUAGAAUUGAAACUUCAUUGCCUUUGCCUGUACUGAGCCUAAAAACUCAGGGUUUGAUAAGGUUACUGCACCAAUGAUACAAUUGUAGAUUUUUAAAAGCCUCCUCAAAGAGACAGAUGUUUGGGCUGAUUAAGAAUUGAGGAGGAAACCUGCAGCUGCACCAAGGAAUAAUCUAUUGGACAAAUAUUGUAAUAAAAAAAUAUGAAGAGAUCAGCCCGACCUUGCAAGGGGAUUGCAGUGGCAAAGCUAGGCUAGGUCUUGGAGGCUGGUGUAAGGCGAUGUGGGUGAAGGCAGGAGGCUGAUGGAAAGACUGGGGGGAAGAAAAGCCGAAAUGGAUUCACGGUGCCUUGGAUGAAGGACGAGAGGGGAACUGCAAGCUCCUUCAACUGGUUCUGUCCGGUGAGAAGUGAUCAAGCUUGGGCUGACAAGAGGCUCAGGGAGCCCUCACGUUCUUUCGCUUUUUUACCUGCCAAUCAAACUGCUACAAGACAACACCCUGAUCUGGCAUGGACAUCGCGGGUCCAAGCCUGUAGCCCCAAAUCGGAUAAUCUCUGCAGCUGAUAACAAGCAAAAGAGAAGCCAGGCAACAGCCAUAUUAAAGAAGAAAACAAUCAACUCUGAGAUCCAACUUAGAAAUAAUGUUUCAUUCAAGAUAAGGCUCGUGGCUUAGGAGAUUGUGACCUGGCUUGCAUCAUUCUAAGACUUCUAUCGUCUGUUUUCAAAACCCAAGGAGGACCUCCUUUUCUGUGUGAUAGUUCCUCAUGCUUUGCCAGCCACUGGGUCUUUAAGGAAGCUUGCCAAGAGUUCCCGGCUGGGAAGGACAGUUCGAGUUCAUCAUAGACAAUGAGCUGGCACCACAGUUUAAGUGACUCACCAACCUGGUUGCCCACUUCAAAAUGUCAAGAACCACACUAUCUAAUUGAAAGAACUGUGUUUUAGCAAAGUGUAAUUGGAUCGCCUGGCAAGAUCAUCUCAAACUAUGUCUCUGACCUUGCCUUUCAGUGGCUAUUUUGAGCACAAGAGGAGAAAGGAAAUGAUUCCUGAAUUAUAUCUUGUUUUUAAAAAUUAAGAUUAAUUAAUACUUGGUUUUAUGUUCAUUCCAUUGUAGGAACUUAGUGAUUAUUACAAAACAGUCAAAAUAGGUCAUAGCAAAAUGAACGUUUAAGAUUAGGUUAAAACAUUCCUCUGAAAUUUUAGUAUUCACUUUUGAAGUGUCAAUUACUAUAUUUCUGUAAUUUCUCAUUUUUUUCUUGGCUUAGAGUCAAGAUGAAAAAUGAUAUUUGAAUCAAAGACAUUGUUUUGUUAUAUAGCCACUCCUUUCUAAAAUGCAAAUCCACCCUCCCCUCACCAAUGCUUUAUUCUUUGUGCGCGCACACACACACACACACACACACACACACACACACACACACAGACAUACACAGAACCAGCACCCAAAUGGUAGAGGAGGUCCUUCCAAGACUUCUAGGACCUGGAUCAUGUAAGCAGUAGAUGAGAAAAUGAAGUAAGAGAUAUAGAGUAAUAACAAUAAAAGUCAAUGAUUUCAUUUUACAAAAAAGUCAUUGUGUAGUACUCAGAUAUUUUUAAGAGCAAGUAUUAUUAUGACUAAAGUAUAUUAUACUUCUAAAUUAUUAUGAUUCUCAUCUAAUUUCAAGCCACACAUAGGCGCCAUUUGAAAGCAUUUUGUGUUACAACCUAUCAACAAAAAUCAACUAAUAGUUUUAUAACGUGCAUAGGUUUACCCCAUGGGGAAUUAAAAUUUUUAUCUGCAAGUAUUUCUGUUGUUGUGAGACUUUAGGACAAGACAACAUUUGGUGUUAACAUAGAAGAAUAUUCUAUGGCUUUUUUAGCUUUAAAGUUCAUUACUCUAAAAUAAAGUACACGUGGUAUUUUUUUCUUCCUAGUGUUCUCUUAUUA
This 2011-nucleotide long non-coding RNA is filed under the name Homo sapiens (human). Its description in RNAcentral is "non-protein coding SOX2-OT:101". The stretch from base 333 to 608 matches the Rfam family "SOX2 overlapping transcript exon 3". Lineage: Eukaryota; Metazoa; Chordata; Mammalia; Primates; Hominidae. The record is from RNAcentral.